RNAcentral lists this ribosomal RNA (2422 nucleotides) under Campylobacter jejuni. RNAcentral describes it as "partial 23S ribosomal RNA". It matches the Rfam family "Bacterial large subunit ribosomal RNA", at positions 653 to 2925 of the family's 2925-position model. The record is from RNAcentral. Lineage: Bacteria; Pseudomonadati; Campylobacterota; Epsilonproteobacteria; Campylobacterales; Campylobacteraceae.
AGCAAACGCGAAGCCGUAGCGAAAGCGAGUCUGAAUAGGGCGCUUAGUCAGAUGCUGCAGACCCGAAACGAAGUGAUCUAUCCAUGAGCAAGUUGAAGCUAGUGUAAGAACUAGUGGAGGACUGAACCCAUAGGCGUUGAAAAGCCCCGGGAUGACUUGUGGAUAGGGGUGAAAGGCCAAUCAAACUUCGUGAUAGCUGGUUCUCUCCGAAAUAUAUUUAGGUAUAGCGUUGUGUCGUAAUAUAAGGGGGUAGAGCACUGAAUGGGCUAGGGCAUACACCAAUGUACCAAACCCUAUCAAACUCCGAAUACCUUAUAUGUAAUCACAGCAGUCAGGCGGCGAGUGAUAAAAUCCGUCGUCAAGAGGGAAACAACCCAGACUACCAGCUAAGGUCCCUAAAUCUUACUUAAGUGGAAAACGAUGUGAAGUUACUUAAACAACCAGGAGGUUGGCUUAGAAGCAGCCAUCCUUUAAAGAAAGCGUAAUAGCUCACUGGUCUAGUGAUUUUGCGCGGAAAAUAUAACGGGGCUAAAGUAAGUACCGAAGCUGUAGACUUGCGCACAACUUAGAUUAUUUAAGUUUAGAAUAUGAGAAACUAAGUUAUAUUUUUACUGAUUUUUAUAGAGUAAAGAUAGAAAUAAAACUUAGUAAAAUCAGUAAAAAUAUUCUUAGGCUAAAGUUAAGUAGUUUAAGUUGUGUGCAAGUGGUAGGAGAGCGUUCUAUUUGCGUCGAAGGUAUACCGGUAAGGAGUGCUGGAGCGAAUAGAAGUGAGCAUGCAGGCAUGAGUAGCGAUAAUUAAUGUGAGAAUCAUUAACGCCGUAAACCCAAGGUUUCCUACGCGAUGCUCGUCAUCGUAGGGUUAGUCGGGUCCUAAGUCGAGUCCGAAAGGGGUAGACGAUGGCAAAUUGGUUAAUAUUCCAAUACCAACAUUAGUGUGCGAUGGAAGGACGCUUAGGGCUAAGGGGGCUAGCGGAUGGAAGUGCUAGUCUAAGGUCGUAGGAGGUUAUACAGGCAAAUCCGUAUAACAAUACUCCGAGAACUGAAAGGCUUUUUGAAGUCUUCGGAUGGAUAGAAGAACCCCUGAUGCCGUCGAGCCAAGAAAAGUUUCUAAGUUUAGCUAAUGUUGCCCGUACCGUAAACCGACACAGGUGGGUGGGAUGAGUAUUCUAAGGCGCGUGGAAGAACUCUCUUUAAGGAACUCUGCAAAAUAGCACCGUAUCUUCGGUAUAAGGUGUGGUUAGCUUCGUACUAGGAUUUACUCCGAAAGCGAAGAAACUUACAACAAAGAGUCCCUCCCGACUGUUUACCAAAAACACAGCACUCUGCUAACUCGUAAGAGGAUGUAUAGGGUGUGACGCCUGCCCGGUGCUCGAAGGUUAAUUGAUGGGGUUAGCAUUAGCGAAGCUCUUGAUCGAAGCCCGAGUAAACGGCGGCCGUAACUAUAACGGUCCUAAGGUAGCGAAAUUCCUUGUCGGUUAAAUACCGACCUGCAUGAAUGGCGUAACGAGAUGGGAGCUGUCUCAAAGAGGGAUCCAGUGAAAUUGUAGUGGAGGUGAAAAUUCCUCCUACCCGCGGCAAGACGGAAAGACCCCGUGGACCUUUACUACAGCUUGACACUGCUAUUUGGAUAAGAAUGUGCAGGAUAGGUGGGAGGCUUUGAGUAUAUGACGCCAGUUGUAUAGGAGCCAUUGUUGAGAUACCACUCUUUCUUAUUUGGGUAGCUAACCAGCUUGAGUUAUCCUCAAGUGGGACAAUGUCUGGUGGGUAGUUUGACUGGGGCGGUCGCCUCCCAAAUAAUAACGGAGGCUUACAAAGGUUGGCUCAGAACGGUUGGAAAUCGUUCAUAGAGUAUAAAGGUAUAAGCCAGCUUAACUGCAAGACAUACAAGUCAAGCAGAGACGAAAGUCGGUCUUAGUGAUCCGGUGGUUCUGUGUGGAAGGGCCAUCGCUCAAAGGAUAAAAGGUACCCCGGGGAUAACAGGCUGAUCUCCCCCAAGAGCUCACAUCGACGGGGAGGUUUGGCACCUCGAUGUCGGCUCAUCGCAUCCUGGGGCUGGAGCAGGUCCCAAGGGUAUGGCUGUUCGCCAUUUAAAGCGGUACGCGAGCUGGGUUCAGAACGUCGUGAGACAGUUCGGUCCCUAUCUGCCGUGGGCGUAAGAAGAUUGAAGAGAUUUGACCCUAGUACGAGAGGACCGGGUUGAACAAACCACUGGUGUAGCUGUUGUUCUGCCAAGAGCAUCGCAGCGUAGCUAAGUUUGGAAAGGAUAAACGCUGAAAGCAUCUAAGCGUGAAGCCAACUCUAAGAUGAAUCUUCUCUAAGCUCUCUAGAAGACUACUAGUUUGAUAGGCUGGGUGUGUAAUGGAUGAAAGUCCUUUAGCUGACCAGUACUAAUAGAGCGUUUGGCUUAUCUUUAAUAAAGCAU